UUUUUAAAAAUGCAAUGAUUUGCUGUAUUGACAGGACUAGCCUGACAGGUUUAAAUCAGCUAGGAUACGUGCCCUGCAUCUAUUUCCCUUCUAAAUCCCUAAAGAUCAGGGGCAAUGUUGACCUGCAAUUAUAUCCUAAGAUUGUGCUGCUCAAGAUUCCAUUUGUGUGUGGGAAAGUAGUGGUUCAGCAACACCAGGCGGCUCUAUGAUGCUAAAACAGCAACGCAACACUCAUUAAGAACCCAGGUUUCGUCUUAUAAAACCCUUGCGGUACAAGGACUCGCAUUCAAAGCUCACGUUCCUUAAAGUUGACGCAUACCAGGCUUUCUGCGAUUUGCCCUCUCAAAGUUUCUAGUUUGCAGAAUGGAAUUACUUUGAAAGUCCCCUCUUCUAGACUCCCCAGGAGGCUUGGAGACAGGGGGGAAAGGAGACGCACGACGGUCAUCGUUCAAACAAAAAUUUAAAACCUAUAAACCAAUCACUUCUUUUUCGGAGAAGAAAAGAAGCGUUCACCCAUCCGCCACCCGGCCGGGCGAGCAUCCGAUUUCCAUCUGGAGAAAAAAAAUAUAUUAAAAAGCCAGACAUACAUUUCCCUUCCCAACAAAAGUGGCCUCUAAACUCCCUUGCCAAGGACACUGGGAGGAAGCAGAAAAGCCACGAACAAGCCCGUACUUUUUGGUCCGAGGCGCGUGUGUGCCUCGGAGAGAAGGCGCAAAGGGUGACACACCGGGGAAAAGGCAUUUCAGGAGACAAGGAGAGGCUGCUGAUCACCAGAAGCACAGCCCCACCCAUCUGGAAGAGCCCCCCAAAUAUCCUAGAGAUUCCAUAUAAGCAGCAACAUGGAAAAGAAGCCAGUAUUGCCAAGGUGAUCUGGAUUCAGGAAUAAAUGGAAAAGGCCUUCAAUCAAAAAGAAUCAUCUCCUCAGAGACCCAAACAUUGACAUUACAGCCACAGAAUGAGCCAUCUGUCACUGGGCAUUUUGGCUACAAGCUUUAUUUUGAAUCCAGAAGGAGAGAAAAGGAACUGACAGGGGUUUUGCAGGGUGAAGUCCAGGGCAAAGGUCUGAAGGACACCACUGAUGAAGGAAACCUCUCAAUGCUUCUCUGAGGGCUCUGGGCGUGCCUAUUCCCCAAGGUGAUUGUGAUGAUUCUGGAAAUGUUAUCAGGAAAGUAUUCCCUUACUAUUGUACUGCUCCAUUUUUUUUUAAAUUUUUAAUAUUUAUUUUUCAGUUUUCGGCGGACACAACAUCUUUGUUUGUAUGUGGUGCUGAGGAUCGAACCCAGGCCGCACGCAUGCCAGGCGAGCGCGCUACCCCUUGAGCCACAUCUCCAGCCCAUGUACUGCUCCAUUUUUGUUAUCUGGAAUCAAAGAUAACUUACUUAAUAACAUGGAGGAGAAAGGAACAAAAUAUUUGAAUGAUAUUAAAGAGAAUUUAAAGUCUAUGGCAAAGACUACAUAGAAAUGCUCUUCAUUUUGAAAAAUCUAUAAAAUUAGGCUUUUUAAAAAUAUUCUCCAACUUUACUUUUGAAGCAAAGUUUUCUGCUUUGAUUAAAGUUCCUCAUUUUAAAAUAGUCUGAAAAUUUACGAGGCUGGCAUUUUAGUUUAGCAAGAUGAGAUAGGGCAACAUUUGUAUUUUUAGCUGAAUGCAGUAAAUAAGGAAGAAGAGUUUAUUUUACUUGUAUGAAUAAUUAAC
Long non-coding RNA from Ictidomys tridecemlineatus (thirteen-lined ground squirrel), 1693 nucleotides. Lineage: Eukaryota; Metazoa; Chordata; Mammalia; Rodentia; Sciuridae. The record is from Ensembl.